Molecule: long non-coding RNA, 5352 nt
Filed under: Daucus carota (carrot)
Lineage: Eukaryota; Viridiplantae; Streptophyta; Magnoliopsida; Apiales; Apiaceae
Description: long non-coding RNA (DCAR_LNC005052)
Source: RNAcentral
AGAGUGUUAUUUGGGUGAAAAUCUUUUUGUGUGAGGUUGUGAUAUUGAAGGCUUCUUUGAAGAUGCCCAAGAAGCCAAGAUAUUGGAAUUUUUCUUGUUCUGUGUCCAUUGGAAUGAGGAUAUAAUUUUGAUAAGAAAGCUGAAGGGAAAUGCUAGUAUGCUAUAGGUUUAAAUAAAGAUAUCCGUCGUGAAUAGAUUCAAAUUGUGCAGACCCAAUAUUUUCUUAUCGCCCAUCUUCUCGAUUUCAUCGUCUAAAAAUGAUUAAGGGGUCACUUGAAGUGUUGAAGUCAAAAACACAACGACAAAGAAUAGAUCAGGGGUUUAGAAUUUUGUUUCUAUAUGGUUUUAGGUUGAGUUAUAUAUGAAGUAAGUUUUUAUCUUUCUAAAGUUGUCAAAUCACAUCGAAAUCAAGAUAUUUUUGUCAGAUUAGUUUUAUCCCUCAUGAAAUAUAUAUCUUUGUAUAUUAAAAACUCUUUUAGUCAUAAAUUCAUUCUUAAUUUAUUGUCUAACUUAUAUAUUUUUCUUAACUUUGUUCAUAACUUAGUAAGUAUCAUUUUUCUUAUGAGCUAUCUUUUUUAAAAUUCUUGUGGAUCAUUCUUUCGUUUCGAUGUAUAUGAUCCUUUUGAUUUAGUAUGCAUGGAGGUGCAUUUUUAUGAAUAUAUUAUAAUUAAGACGUAUGAUUAUUUGUUCACGAUGCUUGAAUAUAUAUCAUGAACAUCAAACUCACCUUAUCUGUCAUUAGAUUAAAAAAACAAAUUAUUGAAAUUAAAUCAUUAUAUAGAAACAUAUUAGAUAUAAUUGUGUACUAACUAAUUCAAAUAUCAUGAACAUCAAACUCACCUUGACAGUUGCAGAUGAUAUAAAAUUAUACACGAUCACUCGAUCAACCAAUAUAAUUAAAUGAAUCACUUCGGAAAAGAAAAAGAAAAGACUCAUCAUUGUUCAUAGAACAAUUUUAAUGGAACUCGACAAAUAAUUCUGUUGUAGAACAAUAAUCUGCCUUCUUGAUAUUAUAAGAUGAAACUAAAAGAAUAAUUGAAGGUUUUUCAUUUUGAUUCCACUACAACAAUUUUGGGUAUUUACGACAGAUUUUUAACACUAAACAGAUUGUAGAUGGCCAAAUUAUGAUGGAUUUUUUCCGUCAUUUUUGCUCACGUGAAAAGUUCAAAAAUUAAUCGCAAGUACAUAUUUUCAUCGUAAGUUUUAUAUAAGUGGGUCCUAUCUGCCAAUAGAAUAAUAAAGCAACUUACGACGGAAUUUCCAUCAUUUUAAAUUCAUGGGCCCCAGUUUUAUUUAUUGAAAUUUAAAAAUAGGAGGAAAUAAAAAUUAAUUUUUAACAAUAAAUAAAGAAUUUAUGAUAAAAAUUCCGUCGUAGAGUAGAACUUACGACGAUUUAGUUACGACGGAAAAAAACAUAUCGUUCUCAUUUAUUUUUCAUUUUUAAAUGGCUAUAAUUAUAUAAUUAUGUGAACUUACGACGGUGUAGUUACGACGGAGUUGGAACCAUUUUAUUUUCAUUUAUUUUUUGUUUUUAAUCACCUAAAUAUGUUAACUUACGACGGUUUAGUUAUAAUAGAGCAUAUAUUUAUACCACAUAUACCAAAUUUCAGUAUGCUUGUUGCAGUUAUACGGUUCUCACAAAGUUAUUUCAUAUUUACGUUCAUGCAGUGUUUCAUUUUCUAGCCAUAUCCUCCGCUUCCACUCUCCGAUCAAUUUUACGAUUUCAAUUAGCACAUAUACACACAAAUACAUACAUCACUAUCACAGAUUUCUCUCCCUCUCCCUAUAUCUCUCUCAAAGCAUUAUAGAAAUCGAAUGGAGAUUAUUUAGCAAAAAAAAAAAAAAAAGAAAUCGAAUGGAGAUUUUGCGUUAUGUGUGACGUAAGGGGAAGAGGGGUGGAGAGGAAUCGAAUGGUAAACGACGAUGAGAAGGAAACGUUAAGAUUAAAGGAGAGUGUUUGUCUGUUUGCUUGGGGUUGUGUGGUUGCGUGUGUUGACGUCGGCGGUUAAAACAUUACGGCGUCAAAGACGGAGAGGGAUAUGCGACGAUGGUGAUGAAAGAAAAGAUGAAGGGAGGGGAAAGACGAUGCAAGGUGUGAGAUAGGAAAUGGAGCGGGAGUAUUUAUGUUGACAAUGAAGUGGAGCCGCCACGACCCUGAGAUAGUUGGUUGCUUUUAAUUAUUUUUUUGGUUAUGUAAAAUAUGUCAUCACAUAUUUUACAUAUUAAUAUUAAUAUGAAGUGGAAUCGAUUAUGUAUUGAUGAGUCUAUAUUUUACAUAUUAAUAUGUCAUGUAUCAGGAGUUGAAUUCCAGAUCUAUUAAUAUGUAUUGAAAUAAAAUAUGUUAGGGUUAAAAAAAGUUAUAAUGAAAUUAUAAAUAUUUUAGUGUUAUAAUGAGGUGUUUGUAUUGAAAUAGAAUAUGUUAAGCUUAAAAAAAGUUAUAAUUUUAUUUUCAACAUCAUUAUAACCUUUUUAUAAGAUAUUAUAUAAUAAUGUAUUGUAAUGAGUGGUUUUAGUAUUUAAAAUUAUUUAACAAUGUAAGGGGUAAUAGACCUUCAUAUGUUGUAGACUUUUUUUUUUAACGUAGGAACCCGCAGCCGCUACCCUCGCAAUAGCCUGCAAACUACGUGAACCAAGGUAAACCGCACCUAAGCGCGACAGGCUCUGAUCCAGGAGGCAUAAUCACAAAUUCUGCUCCGUUUGGGAGUCGAACCUGUGACCAAGAGGAUACUUGUCCCCUCUUUAACCAGCUGAACCAACCCUUGUAGACUUAGACUUGUACUUUCAGAGAAAGAGUAACAAACCAGAAAAUAUAACUAAAAAGUUGACUACAAAUUAUACCAGGGACGAAGCCAGCAAACAUCUGUAGGGGGGCCAAAUUUUUUUUUCAAUACAGUGAAAUUUUUCAUUAGCAUUGUAACCUUAAAUUUCGGUUCAUAUAUAAAAUUAAGUUUGGAUUUUAACCUUUUAUUUGAUAUAUAUAUUUUAAAAACUAAAUAUGUAAAGGUCCGAUUUUCGAACCCUUAAAAUACAUAUCAAAAGCGGCUAAAAUGAGAUAGUGGGAGAAGGUUAUUUGAUCUAAUUGUCAACAAAAAUAUUUAGCUAUUUCUCUUUAAAUAUAUUUAAGUAUAAAAUGAUCAGGAUACUCAUCAUAAACUCUAAGUUAUACAGUAAUCUUUAAUUAGCAAGUAACACACACUAAAUGAAAUUGUAUUUUGACAAUAUCUCAAAAACUAAAUAUUAUGUUUAUUAUACUUACUCCUUUUCAAAAAAAUAUAUUUAUUAUACUUAAAAAAAAUAUUAUGCUUAUUUAGAAGAUAACAAGUUAAAAUUUAAAUAAGUAAAAAUAUUACCUGGAUGAUGAAAUUUAAAUUGAAGAUGAGUAGAUCAAUAUUAAUAUUAAAUAAUAAAUUGAUAAUGCACGAGGACUAACUAUUCUAUGAAAAUGAAGAGGUGAAGUGAGGUAUAAGUUUCUUGGAUAAGACCUCCACCAAAGAUUCUUAUUUUUAAAGAAGAACCAUAUUAACAUUUAUAUUUAUCACAUAUCACAUUUUACAAAUUUUUUUUAAAUAGUAUAAUUGUAUAUAUAUAUUCAUAUUUUUGUUUAUUUUUAUUUUUAAAUUUGGUCUAAUACAAAGAUUAGAAAAAUCUAAGAAUUAAAACAUUAUUUUACAAUGUUAAAUAUUUCUUAGAAGGAACAAAUAUUUUUUAAGGGGGGCCAAAUUUUUAUAUUUAUAUAAAUAUAUAGAUAUAAUACAAUUUUUUUCAAAAUUAUAUAAUAAAAAUUACAAUACUACGAAAACCCUAGGAGGGGCCAUGGUCCCUUCUGGCUAGCUUCGUCCCUGAAUUAUACUAUAUUGACUUAUUACAAUAUAGUAUAUAUAGAGUAUAGAUUUGAUGGGAACCGAUCCCCUCAAAUAAAUUACAUGCAUGUCAUAUCAUAAGUGUCAUGUAUCUUUAGAUAAAUUUGUGUAAUACCCAAUGGUUGACAUCACAGUGAUUGAUCUGAAUUGUUCAACGAAUGUAUUAUAAUUUAUAUAAUUAUUAUCUUGUAGUAUUCUUUAAAUUUAUAGAACCUGGUCGUCGGAGACCUUAUAGUACUCCAUACAAGCUAGAGAAACAGUGAAGUGAUCAUACUCGUAUGCAAGCUAGAGAAACAGUCGUAGGUACACGCUAAUUACAACAAUCAUCAGUGUACAAUAAUAAUCUCAGAAAGUUGCAAGUAAAAUAUCUUUACAAUCCAGUACACAACAUAUAUAUUUCAGUCUUUUAACUUAUAAGCAUGAAGAAGAAACAGUGGUACUUAUAAAUAACAACGAAAAAGAACAUCAGGAAUUUAAACCAUGGAAACCUCCUCCUGGGAAUCCAGCUGAUCAUAAUCUUUGUGGAACACCUCAAGACGAUGAGCAAGCGAUGAUUUCCCGAUAGUCUCACCGUGAUAAGAUUUGCAGACGAAGUAGAUGAUGGUCUGGAUGACAAGUCCCAAGAGACUCAAUAUAGACAUUAGCAUAGCCCAAAGACAUGCAUGCAAUAUCUUUCCCCACACCGAAUCUCCACCCACCACACUGGCCUUAAACCCUAGGUCAAUUCCAAGAAAACAUAGGUUAAGUACCACCAAAACGGCAGCACAAAGUCCAGAAUUUCCCUUGAUCAAAUUUUUGCUCUUCUUCAUGGCUUGAAUUCCAUGGACGUCCUCUAAAACGGAUACGAUGUUCGCUAAUUGCCACACCAAGCUCAUAUACAGAAUACCCAACAAAAUUAUUCCUCCAAAAACUAAGAGGAGGAUCAUAACUGGAACUCCAGGGGUACUUGGUACACCAGAAGUAAUUACAACCAGAAAUACCACUAAAAAUAUUAUAAGUGAGACGCCCAUGAUGACCGCAAAAGAAAUAAUGAAAAUCCAGAAGAAAGUGAUUAAAAGUCCUUUAAGAACCUUGGGAACCACUUUCAUGACCUUCUUAUAAGUUGUUUCUUUGGCGCUGUAAAUGCAUGCAACGGUGAAAACAACGGCGGAUGUCGAAACGAGGGAAAGUAAUAUCGAAGAAAUGAAGAAGGCUAGCUUGAAUAGCCAAAACGAGGUCGUCUCGGAUGAGAAGAUAUUUGGAGGGUUGGCAUAUGUUUGAGAUUCCAUUUGAGUAUCAUCAGUGAAAUUUGUACUAGGGCUGAUGAUUUCAUUUUGUCCGAACACGAAUCCGGAGAUUUCGUUUUGCGACACGUAGAUGAAAGAAAGAGGGAGGAUAAGAGAGAGUGUUAUUUGGGUGAAAAUCUUUUUGUGUGAGGUGGUGAUAUUGAAGGCUUCUUUGAAGAUGCCUAAGAAGCUGAGAAAUCGGAAUUUUUCUUGGUCUCUGUCCAUUG